CGAGCAUAUAUUUUAUUAAGUCACAAUAGCCCAUACAGUCAAAAAUAGAACACUCCACUUUAUGAUUGUGCUGUGUGUAUUGUUUGUGUGGAAUGACCCCGUUUGCAUAUGUGUGUGUGGACACCCUUACCAUCUCCCACCGGCCAUAGACAAUUAUCAUUAAGUUUAGCAGUCAUCAAUAUUGGAUAAAUAGGAAUAGCUUCCAUCACAUUUUUCCCAAAGUCACCAGUCUAGAACUAACUUGCUCCACCCCUAUAAAUGUAAUAAGCUUUCUUAGGAGCCCUCCUAAUCAAAGGAACACCAAGACACUAUUCAAGAAAAUUAGUUUGUCGAAAAUUGGAUAGACGCACCAAUAUCUUCCUAGUAGCUCGAGUAGUAUUUUGUGAGAAGAAAAUACCAGUAUUUUCUUGACAUAAUUGCCUUAGAGGUUUUGUGACACAAUUCAUUUGCAUUUAUCUAUCCUCUCGAAACAAGUAUAGAGCUCAUCAGAAAACAUCAAGUGAGACACCAAUGGCCCAAAACAAAACACUCUAACAGGGGCUUACGUGUUCCCAAACCCCACCUUAUUUUAUAUAUUAUAUUUUACAUAGUGCCAUGAACCUCCUUCCAAAGCAGUAACUGUAUAUUCCAAAAGGUACGUAUCAUUAUUUUUAUCAUCAACAUUAUCAAAACAAAACAUUUAGUACAUAGUGAAUUUAGUCUAUUUUAUGUUGAAACAAGAAAAGAAAGACAAGAUCAUAAAAGAGAGUAAUGGAAUAAACAUGUAGAGAGAAAAUAUGCAACAUAACUCUUUUUUAAAAUACAUCAAAAUAUUUUUAAAACAACAUUGCAGCAUACUAAAAUCAAUUCAAAAUACUAAUUCUACUUUUUUUACAAAUGAAAUGUUUAAUUUUUACCCAGUAAUGGACAAAAAUCAAAUGAAUCUAAACUGAUCUCAUUCUUGAAUCGCUUCCAUUUUGAGAGGCCGUCUAGGCAAAGAACCUUCACUACUGGUAAUGGAAUUGGUGGAAUGAAAUGGAUUAGGCGGAAAUGUUAAUUGGCUGUCAUCUUCUGUUUCCAACAUUUGUAUGACGGUUUUAAUGGAAGGACGAUUCAUUGGCUGCCACUGAAUACACCAAAGUCCGACAAUUGCAAGUUUCCUUGCAAUUUUAGCAUUGCCAACUUCAUCUUCAACAUUUAUAUGUAUGUCUCCUUCCAAUAAGUUAUGAAUCCAUUCCGGGUAUAAAACAUGCAAAUCUUCUGCAGAUGACGAAUCUACAUUCUUUCUUCCUCCAACCAUUUCUAGCAACAACAUUCCAUAACUGUAUAUAUCAGACUUAAGAGAAACAUUUCCAAAAUUUCGAGACACUACUUCGGGUGCCAUAUAUCCCAAGGUUCCCCUAGCAGCUGUCAUGGACACUAUACUAAGAUUCUUGGCACAUAAUUUGGCGAGCCCAAAGUCAGAAAUUUUUGGAGUGAAGGAAUCAUCUAACAAAACAUUGCGAGGGUUGAUGUCAAAGUGAAUAAUUGGAUGGCUACAGCCCUCAUGAAGAUACUCGAUUGCUUUUGCUAUACCAGUACUAAUUUGUUGUAGCUUCUCCCACCCCAUGAAAUAAUCCUUGUUAUCCGGUGGAAAUAUGAAGCUUUGCAGAGAACCUUUCGAAAAAAAAUUGUAUACUAGAGCGCAGUGAACUCCUUCUGCGCAAAAGCCAAGCAAACGAACCACAUUGAUAUGGUGAAUUUUGCCCAUAAUUUCCACUUCAGUGAUGAACUCUUUCCCUUCUCCUUGUGUAUUGUUGAGAAUCUUCACAGCCACUAGAAUCUCACUAGAGAGUUUUCCUUUAAAUACCGAUCCGUGAGCUCCUUCUCCUAGCUUUUCCUUAAAUCCACUCGUGAUCCUUUUUAUAUCAGAGUAUGAAAAUCUGGCAGGCUUUUGGGCUCUAUAAUCCUCUAAAAACUUAUCAAUUCUAACUUGAUCUUCUUCUUUUUCUCUGAAAUGCAGAUAAAUCUUAAUAAAUACAAUGGUGCCCAUUCCCAAUAUAAUUGAACCUGCAUUAAUUAACACAUUAACAGUUACAUUUUCCUCCCAGUAUAAACAAAUAAAAUAAUAAAGAAGACGCAAAUAGUACUUUGAAAUAUAAUAAAGACUCACCUAUAGCCGAAAAAAUAAGAGCUUUUGGAGGCUGAAAUUUUUUAUGUUUUUGGUUGCAAUAAAAACAUUCAAUGCCAGGUUUGGUGGUGUUGUUCAUCCAUUUGCAUUUCAUGCCUUUUGACUCGCACUUUGCACAACUUUGUUUGGGCCAACUCAAUCUGAGAAAAUUAUACCUCAGGUCUGAUCCCAUCAUAGACGCGUUGACGUCGAACAUCUUAGUACAAGAUAGAAGGUCCAAAUCAACGAUAUCUUCGUCCGAAUCAGCAACAUAAAUUGGACAAGUGAUCAUAUCUUGUGACUC
RNAcentral lists this long non-coding RNA (2432 nucleotides) under Medicago truncatula (barrel medic). Its description in RNAcentral is "long non-coding RNA (MTRU_LNC000074)". Lineage: Eukaryota; Viridiplantae; Streptophyta; Magnoliopsida; Fabales; Fabaceae. The record is from RNAcentral.